This 8462-nucleotide long non-coding RNA is filed under the name Sarcophilus harrisii (Tasmanian devil). RNAcentral describes it as "lncRNA (ENSSHAG00000023154.1)". The record is from RNAcentral. Lineage: Eukaryota; Metazoa; Chordata; Mammalia; Dasyuromorphia; Dasyuridae.
UUUGCAGCGGGAAGAGCUGGACCUGAUGUGUCAUUUACCCACUCAGGGGGUUGGAGCUCGUCCCUGGAAGUGAUCUCCCACGGUCCCACGGUCCCACGGUCCCACGGACACGUUUGUGCACAUGCAUGUGUGAUGCAUGUCCUAGGGGUUCCCCAGGCAUAGAAACCCAGGGACUGAGUGCUCCGUGUGGGGGAGCUACCACGGAGACCUAUGGGGGCAUUCCCGACAUUGGCCCUUGUAGUGACCAUCCAGUAGCGUUGGGGAAAUGAAGCUUGACUAAAACUGACCACGAGAAAGGAAGCAGCUACGUCUGCCCAAUGUGCAUGAUGGGACCCCUUCACCCUGACCCUGCUGGGAGCUGGGAGAACUAGAAGUAGCUGGUGACCUUUGGCUGAGCAGGGUCUGAGGGAGCCAGUGGGGGCACCCGACCCACUUGAGCCCUGCUACGGGGUAUUGAAGGGCUAGAUUAACUUCACUCUGUGGAGCGGCUUCCUCCCUGCGUCAUCCUUGUCCACACAAGUGUAUACAGAAGGCCAAUGGCUUUCAGCUCCGGGCUAAGAAGCUCCAGUUCUGUGGGAGGGGUGUGAGCCACGCUGGCUCUUUGGCUGUCCCUCCAGUUCCCCUUUUUGUUACUGGGGGCUCCCCUUUUCCCCUCCCCCCACCUCCUUCUUCUCCCCAACCUUUCUCUGCCUAAAAAGCCAAACCUCAUAGUUAAUGUAACUUGGAGGGAAUCUCUGGGCAGCACAAAAUGUAGAGGAAACUUGAGGAACAUGUUGGGGGCAGAAAUGGGGAGUGAGGGGCUGGCCAUUUAUGGCUGCUCUGUUCUUCUGGGGGAGGUCCAGCUCAGCCCCAUUUACAUAACUAUUGAUCUGCAUUAAUACUCCAUCAGUUCUUUCUCUGGAAAUGGAUUUUGAUUUUCUUCAUGAAUUUUUUGGAAUUGUUUUGAAUCAUUGUAUUGCUGAGAAUAGCUAAGUUAUUAACAACUAACCACCAUACAGUAUUGCUGUUACUCUGUACAAUAUCCUAGUUCAAUUUUUCCAGGUUUUUUCUGAAACACACUGCUCAUUUCUUACAGCACAGUAAUAUUCCAAUGUAAUCUUAAACUACAACUUGUCCGGUCAUUUCCCCAAUUGAUGGGCAUCACCUUAAUUUCUAGUUCUUUGCCACAAAAACUGCUAUAAAUAGUUUUUGGAUAACUAGGUCCUUUUCCAAUUUUUAAAACUUUUCUUUGGAAUAUAGUCUCAUUUCUGGGUCAAAGGGUAUGCAGUAUUAAAGCAAAGUUCCAAAUUGCUCUCCAGAGUGGUUGCAUCAAUUCACAAUCUCACCGACAGUGAGUACAUUAGUGUCCCACUUUUCCCACAAACCUUCCAACAUUUAUUAUUUUCCUUUCCUGUCAUAUUAGCCAAUCUGAUAGGUGUGAGAUGUUAUCAUUGGCAUUUUUCUGAUCAAUAGUGAUUUAAAAGGUUUUUAUAUGGCUGUAGCUUUCAUCUGAACACUGUUUAUAUCCACUGAUCAUUUAUCAAUUGGGGAAUGACUUAUUUCUUGUAUAUUUGGUUCAAUUCUUUAUAUAAUUGAGAAUGAGGUCUUUAUCAGAGAAAGUUGCUGUAAAAAUUGUUCCCCAGUUUUUUUGUUUUCCUUCUAAUCUUGAUUGCAGUGGUUUUUGUUUGUGCAAACCCUUUUUAAUUUAAUAUAUUCAAAAUUGCUCAUUUUAUAUCUAGCAAUGCUCUCGGUUUCUUGUUUGGUCUUAAAUUCUUCCUUUCUCCAGAGAAUUGAAUAGUUUACCUAUCAGAUCUAUGGAGAAAGGAAGAAUUUAUUUAUUUUGAUGUCAUCUUAAUAUGCUGUAUAAGAUGUUGAUUUAUACUUAAUUUUUGCUAUUGUAUUCCAGUUUUCCCAGCAGUUUUUGGUUAGAUAGUAAGUUUUUGUCCCCAAAUCUGGGGUCUUUGGGUUUAUCAAACACUGUGUCACUAUGGUCAUUUACUACUAUUUCUGGUGUGCCUGAUCUAUUCUUCUGCUCCAACAGUCUACUUUUUAGCCAGUACCAAAAUGUUUUGUUAAUUACUGCUUUAUAAUACAACUUGAGAUCUAGUAGAGCUAGGCCACCUUCUUUCACAUUUGUUUUCAUUAAUUCCCUUGAUAUUUUUGACCUUUUCUUCUUCCAGAUGAAUUUUGUUACUGUUUUUUCUAGCUCUAUAAAAUGAUUUUUGGUAAUGUGGUAUGACAUUGAAUAAGUAAAUUAAUUUAGGUAGAUUGUGAUUUUUAUUAUAUUAAUUUGGCCUACCCAUAAGCAAUUGAUAUUUUCCAGUUGUUUAGACCUGACUUUAUUUGUGUGAAAAAGUAUUUUAUAAUUGUCUUCAUACAGUUCCUGGGUUUGUCUUGGCAGGGAGACUCCUAAAUAUUCUAUAUUGCCUUGGAUGACCAAGUGAAGGGCAGGUGGCUGUGGAGUGCAAGGAGGGCAGGAGCUAGUUGUGGCUGGGCCUGUCCUGCCAGAGGAGAGCCUAGCCUUGUUCUUGGUGCCACUGGGCAGGACCAGAAGCAAGAGGACAGAAUUAGGUUGCUGUCUGGUUUUCCCAAUGAGGGCUGACCCCAAGGGGUGAGCCUGUCCAGGAGAUGAUGAGUUUCCUUUACUGGAGCUCUCCUAGCAGAGACUGGAGGCUUCUCUGUCAGGGAUGUUGCCCAGGGGACUCCUAUUGGGCCAAAGGGUCUCUUAGGAGAUUCUAGGACCCCUUCCCACUCAGGGAUGGGGAUCAACUGCAAGGAGAUGAUCCUUUCAGUCCGGGGAUAGGAGCUUUGACCCAUUUUAUUGCUGCAGUCGUGACAAAGAAGAUGUUGCUUGGGGUCAGGGCAGAGUGGAAGAUACUCUGGCUACUCAAGGCUGGACUCAGUGCCUCAGGGGAUCAGAGCUGCAAGUUCCUCUCCCCCAUCACCUGCACCAGCCCACUCUUGCUAUAGCAGAAAUGCUGACCUGCUUGUUGACAUCUGUAUCCAGACAACAAUGACUCCCAGCCUGGCAGAGGGCCCAGCUGGCAGGGCAGGGGCAGCCCUCAGGAGCCCCUACAGAGAACAUCUGCUAGACCAGCCAUCAGCAGGGUCCUUUCAUUUUAACUGACACAAUGAUGGUUUGAGUGGGAGAUCCUUGGGGGGGAGGGGGCACCACCCAUUGGGUUGCAGUGUUUGGCUCUGACUAGGACCAAGGGCAAAAUGGGCAGAGGCUGAUGUUACUCUUCUCCCAGGGACAGCAGGAGAACAGAGGUCACCUGGAGAGGCAGAAUGAAGGUCUAGGAACAGGGUCAGGAGACUCUUCUCCACCCCUCACUGAACCUCAGGUUCCUCAGCUGUGAAAUGAGGCUGUUGGCCAAAACAACCCUAACAUGGUGUCUAGCUCAGGCAGUCGAAGCUCUGCAUGACAACCUACCCCUUGUGACUCAGUGUUCCCAUCUGUAAAGUGGGAAUAGCUUGUGCCCUGUCUCCCACACUGGUAGGAGACAAUGCUCUCUGGGAGGAUCAGAGAUCUUACCUGUAAAGCUCACUGUGAACUAAAAAGCCACCCUCCUUAUCUACUGGCUACCCAGACUUCUACCUCCUGGAGGCCCUUGCCUCUUCUUGGCCCUUUUCUUCCAACAAAGCCUUGCCAUGGCUGGAGAGAGGGACAAAAGGUAUUCAUUCUUUCAUCAAGGAAUUCAGGGCACGCUCCAUUCUUUUCUUAAACGCUUUGAAAAAAAAAUCCAUAUGUGGAUGCUAACUUUGUCUCUAAAACCUGGGUAGGGGUCUGGAGGAAGUCCUUAGUCGGCCUAGAUCUGUUGUUCACUGCCUGGAUGACCUGUUUUUUCUUCAGUAAAGGAAUUAGAUUGGAUCCCAUGACCCUUCACUUUGACCAGAGGCCCUUUUCGGUCAACAAGGUGCCUGGGGCCUCAGUCAGGGGCUCUGGCUAAGCCACUUUCUCUCUGGGUCUUGGUUUCCUCAUCUGUUACUGGAAGAGUUGGUUCAAAUGGCCUGUGAUGUUUCUUGGGUCAGGACUGACCCCAUGCUCCACUCUGGUGCUGCUGUUUGUUGAAUCAUGGCCUCUUAACUGGAGUGGCAAGUUGGAGACCCUUCUUCUGAUUCUGCCCCUCAGGGGUCUAGCACCCUCCUUUUAGAAGCUGAUGAGGUCAUUGGCACAAGUGACAAGAGGGGCUGUCUUCUCAGCCCCUGGAGGUGCCCCCUCGUCGACAAAGCCAGAGGCCACUCUCUCCAGACAAGGGGCAAAGCUUUUCUGGGCUAGCCCCUGUUGAGCUCUGGAGUGAGAAGAGAAAGGCAGGUCUCCGCUUCAGCCCUUGUUGGCCUGUAAAGUUGCUGCUGGAGCCUGGAGGCAGAUCCAGGUGUGCUGCAUGAGCUCCUGAGGAAGCUAGGCUUGGGCAGGCCUGGCCCCAUGCCCCAAAUCUUCUCAUGUUCCGUCCACCUCAGAAAGUUCUCAUUGAAGUUUCAAGGCAAUGGGGAUCUAAUAAGCACGGGUCCCAGGAAGGGCGUGGCUUGAAAGGAGGGGCCCCAGGUAGGAGGACAGGCCAUGGCUGGGAUCUAGAGAGCUUGACAAAAGAGAAUGGUGGGCCGAGAAAAACCCUCUGCUUACAACACCAAGGAAUCCAGGAUUUGGAGUUGUAAAAAUGAACAUCUUACCGUUCAGUGGGAAGGUCUUGCUCUCACAAUGAAUCCUCUCCUCACACCACUCUCCCACUGAAAAUCUCAGCCUGGUAACCAUGGCUUCAGACAACUACAUUCAUUUAUUGACGUCUUUAUUGGGUACCUUUUUGUGUCGGAUACUUGUGCUGGGUGCUGGAAACAGGAAUGCAAAAAUCCAACUCUUCCUGCCCUCAGCAAAGACUAACAGAUGUCACAGCGUCUCUCCCAAACAUCUGUAGCCGCUCCUCUGAACGUUUUCUGAGUUCCUACCCUACUAUUAGUUAGAGCAUAAUCUUUUUUUUUUUUCAUUUCUAGAUCCCCACUCUCCUUCACCCCACAUAGUCAAUCACUGGCUAAAUCUUGUUUCUGCUUCUAUGGUGGCUCUUAGAUCUCUCUCAUCAGCCUAGUGUAGUCGCGCCUCACGGCUCACCACAUGCCAAUGACCACCUAGUUGUCCACCCUGCCUCCAUGCCAGUCUAUCCUCCAUCCCACUGCCAAAGAGUUUCCCAAAGUUCAGUUCUAGAAAUUCUAUCCCACCCCCAAUUCAAUAAAGUCCAGCUACUCCCUUUGACCUUUAGGAAAUGGCAAACCAUCCCAGUAUCUUUGCCAAGAAAACUUCAAAUGGGGUCUUGAAGAGUAAACACAAUUGAAAAAUGAUUGAACAACAACAAUAAACUUCCAUUUGGCUUUUAAAUAAGGUCCUUCCCAUUUGUCCCGCACCUGCAUUUACAGUCUCCCUCCCCUUUCUUUCUUUUCCCUAAGUCUUUGGUUCAGUCAAACUGAACUGCUCUCUCUCCCUGGGAGCUUACUUCCUCCUCACCUCUGCUUUGUGGAACCUCUUAGGACAGGCACCAAUUUCUAGGCAGAGUUUUUCCUGAUGCCCCCUCAUCCCUAAACCACUUUGGGUUUGUUCUGUAUCUACUGGUCUAAUCUAAUCCCCCUAUCAGGGGAAGGCUCCUAAAAGGCAGGGACACUUUCAUUUUUCCCAUUGUAUUCCAGUGUCUGACAUACAGUAAUACGGGGUUAGUUGGCCUUCCCUCAGAGUUUCCAUUUCAGAAGGUGGGGCCCAAGACAACUUAAGAAAGCUCUGGCUUUGGGAUCUGCAUCAGCAAGACGGAAACCCGAUUUGUAGAGAGAUGGGCAGGCCCUUCGAAUGGAUCCCGGCCUGGAAACUUGGGAGAAAGGGGCACUCGCCACCAGGCCUCCGACAGCAGCUUAAAGUGGGGCUCACCCACGUUCCCCAAGGUGCUUCAGGAGGAACUAGAGAAACUUGGUUCUGCAGCACCACCUGCUGACAAAAGCGGGGAUCGCCAUGAGCUUGGGGGUAAGAGCUAGCAGGGGCCCUUGGUACUGAGGGGGAAACUGAGGCUCAGGGAAAGAAAGGGGCUGCCAGGGCGCAUCAGUCCAUUGGAGCUGGCCGUCUGAGAAGGGCACAAGAAGAUCUGUUUCCGGGGCAAGGGGCUGUCCUGUGGAGGCAGAGGAGAUAAGUCCCCUUGCCUUGAUGGUCCCGGGGUCCCCCAAGGCAGGGCCUGUGAACUUCACUUUUAAGAACACCUGGCUAACUCUGCCUCCCACAUUUGGCUUUCUCCAUAAUUCUGCGCAUUUUAUUUGGGGCCUAUUAAAAACACGAUUCUGAAGAGAGGGCCCCAGGCUUCUCCCAGGGGGCAGCCAGGGUCAAGGGAGUCCAGGGCGGAUGGUGGAGGGGCCCUGCUCUGGUUGGUGCAGAAGCGGGGGACCCUGAUCCCCGUAUGCACAGGGCACCUCUGGCUGUGGGUGGGAGAGGGCGGUACUGAAUAAGCCCUUUACAGGAAGAGUCUGGUCCAGGUAAUACUUGAGAUCGCUCUCUGUAAGGGCUGAACAAGGAGCCUUGGCUCAUCGUCUCCCUAACAAUCUUUGAAAGCCACACCCGGGAUAAACGGAGAAUAAUCCCGAUGGAGAGGGCAUGGGACAGGAACAAGGCACCACAGCCAAGUGCCUUUGCCACGGGUGAUUUCUCUCAUCCACGACCCUGUUACGAUCCAGAUCUUGGUAUUGCCAGUUAAGGUGAAUUGGGAUGUCAAAGUAUGGUCUGUGCAUUAACCCUGGAAGGUACGGAGAGUCACCUGGAGGAAGCUGUUGUUGAUGUGAUACUAGUUAAAGAGUGUAUAAACCCCGGCGCUCAGAUUAACAAACGGAGAUCUCAAAGCACAUCUUCCACUGGCCUGGGAUAUUCAUUCCCACUCUCGGUAUUCCCUGGGGCUGGACUCCACACCUGGCAGAGAAUUUCUGAGUAUCCCCACCUCCUGUUCAAGGGAACAAGGAAAGGGAGGUCAACUCGGGGACCAAUUCACUCACAACCUCCCAGCAGGAAGGGGCAUCGGAAACCACGGAGGCCAACCUAGCUCCCAAAGCAAGGCUGCUUCCAUGGUCCUGAGACGACCAGCUUCCUUUGUUUGUGUCCUUCCAGUGACAGGGAGCUCCCUCUCUCACAGGGAAUCUGUCUCCCCAGAACUUCCCCCAGUUUGACCUCUUGGAGCAGCACAGAAUGAACAUAAUCUCUCUUCCAUAUGUGGCUCUUCAAACAUCUAUAGCUGGAGAGCACAGAGCCAGAGGCUACCAGCACCCUAAGGACACAAGCCUCAGCUGUCGGAAUCCCUUUUUGCAGAAAAAGAAAAUUAGGUACAGGAAGACCAGAGGACUUCCCAGGGCCUUAUGGCCAGUGACAGACAUGUAAAGGACAGGGCUCAAGACCAUCCUGGAGGGUGACGACACUCCCAGGCCAGCCUCAACCACUCUCUGGCUGUAGCUGUUCAAGCAAGGCCAUAUCUGAGACUUCUUAGACUUUCUCCUGAACGCCCCCCCCCCCCCCCCGCCCCGGUCCUACGAAACCAACUGAAGCGAUUUGAGAGGAUUUGGUGGGAGGGGCUUCGUCGACAGCUCACCUCGCCUUCCACCUGAGGGGUUUAUUCAACAUCUAAGGUCAAUUGGACAGACUGAGCUUUGGGAAAAAAGCUUUCAAAAAGAUGAUGGAGCUCCUACUUGGUCAAAGCUGGUGGUGAGAACACAGAGGUAAUAGGGAGACGUCCUAACCCCUUAAAAGGCAGUAUACUUGUUCCAGCCUGUUUGGGGCGCCAUCUGGUCCUCCCAAUCCCCAAACUUCCUACCUUUCUAGCACAGAUCCUGUCAGUUAUGGUUGGGGCUAAAGGGACACACAGGUUGAUCUUGGUGGCCCCUACUUCGGCUCCAAUACUUGGAUCCCCAUCCUACAGUGUUCUCCCUCUCCUCUAGGAUAUGCUACUCUCGUGCUGUCCCUCAUUCUGUCCUUCCUGAACGUCCCUCGCGACAGGCUGAACUUGCUUGUUGCUAAGCUCUCUGGUCUUUGCAAUGAAUGAUCAUAGCAAGAUUUAGGAUCCUGGAGACCCUCUAUUCCGAACCCCUCAUGGUGUAAAAGAAAAAUGAGGUCCAGAGAGACUCAUGUGGCAAGAGGCAGAACCCGAAUCCCAGCCCGAGUCCAAGACCUCCUUCCCAGCCCUUUACCCUGCGGCACAUCUCCUGGGGCUCAGCUUAAAGGAGGAAGGGAGAAAGGGCUUUCUUCCUCUCUCCCAGGUGUGAGAACCUUUUUGGAGCUAAUGACUGCUCUUUGAUUAGUUAAAACCCCACUAAUUGUAGAAGGUUUAACAAAUGCUUGUUUAAUUGGGUGAGAGUCCAAUUGGGUGAGGACCAAGCUUGGAUUGACAGUCUGGGGAGGGCCACUAAAUUGCUAAAGACCCUGGCAGUGGUGGGAGUAUUCCUUCUUUGGGAUGGAUCCUUGACGGCAGCAUUUUUAAAAC